AUGCUCACUUCGGCAGCACAUAUACUAAAAUUAGGACGGUACAGAGAUGAUUAGCAUGGCCCCUGUGUAAGGAUGACACGUAAAUUCGUAAAGCAUUCCAUAUUUUU
RNAcentral lists this small nuclear RNA (107 nucleotides) under Prolemur simus (greater bamboo lemur). Lineage: Eukaryota; Metazoa; Chordata; Mammalia; Primates; Lemuridae. The record is from RNAcentral.